RNAcentral lists this transfer RNA (87 nucleotides) under Candidatus Omnitrophica bacterium CG_4_9_14_0_2_um_filter_42_8. RNAcentral describes it as "tRNA-Leu". It matches the Rfam family "tRNA". Rfam says of the family: Transfer RNA (tRNA) molecules are approximately 80 nucleotides in length. Their secondary structure includes four short double-helical elements and three loops (D, anti-codon, and T loops). Lineage: Bacteria; Pseudomonadati; Candidatus Omnitrophota. RNAcentral also lists the same sequence under 2 other names. The record is from RNAcentral.
GCCGGAGUGGCGGAACUGGCAUACGCGCCGGUCUCAAAAACCGGUGGUCGCAAGGCCUUGUGGGUUCAAUUCCCACCUCCGGCACCA